UAGGGAAUAUUGCACAAUGGAGGAAACUCUGAUGCAGCGACGCCGCGUGAGUGAUGAAGGCCUUCGGGUUGUAAAGCUCUGUCGUACGGGAAUAAGCAAGUGAAUGUACCGUGCAAGAAAGGAUCGGCUAACUUCGUGCCAGCAGCCGCGGUAAGACGAGGGAUCCUAGCGUUGUUCGGAAUCAUUGGGCGUAAAGCGGGUGCAUGUGGCUCAAUAAGUCAGGUGUGAAAUCCCAGGGCUCAACCCUGGAAGUGCAUUUGAUACUGUUAAGCUUGAGUGCUGGAGAGGUAAGCAGAAUACCUGGUGUAGUGGUGAAAUACGUAGAUAUCAGGUGGAAUACCGGAGGCGAAGGCGGCUUACUGGCCAGACACUGACACUCAGACCCGAAAGCGUGGGGAUCAAACAGG
Molecule: ribosomal RNA, 407 nt
Filed under: uncultured bacterium
Lineage: Bacteria
Description: bacterial SSU rRNA
Rfam family: Bacterial small subunit ribosomal RNA
Source: RNAcentral